UACAGAGGUCUCAAGCGUUGUUCGGAUUCAUUGGGCGUAAAGGGCGCGUAGGCUGCGGGGCAAGUCGGGUGUGAAAUCUCAGAGCUUAACUCCGAAACUGCAUUCGAUACUGCGGUGCUUGAGGACUGGAGAGGAGACUGGAAUUCAUGGUGUAGCAGUGAAAUGCGUAGAGAUCAUGAGGAAGACCAGUGGCGAAGGCGGGUCUCUGGACAGUUCCUGACACUGAGACACGAGGGCCAGGGGAGCAAACGGG
This 253-nucleotide ribosomal RNA is filed under the name uncultured bacterium. RNAcentral's name for it is "partial 16S ribosomal RNA". It matches the Rfam family "Bacterial small subunit ribosomal RNA", at positions 524 to 776 of the family's 1533-position model. The record is from RNAcentral.